RNAcentral lists this ribosomal RNA (657 nucleotides) under Herbiconiux sp. B1. Its description in RNAcentral is "bacterial SSU rRNA". It matches the Rfam family "Bacterial small subunit ribosomal RNA", at positions 56 to 724 of the family's 1533-position model. The record is from RNAcentral. Lineage: Bacteria; Bacillati; Actinomycetota; Actinomycetes; Micrococcales; Microbacteriaceae.
UGCAGUCGAACGGUGAAGGUGGAGCUUGCUCUGCUGGAUCAGUGGCGAACGGGUGAGUAACACGUGAGCAAUCUGCCCCGAACUCUGGGAUAACCACGGGAAACCGUGGCUAAUACUGGAUAUGUACCGCGAUCGCAUGGUCUGUGGUUGGAAAGAUUUUUCGGUUCGGGAUGAGCUCGCGGCCUAUCAGCUUGUUGGUGAGGUAAUGGCUCACCAAGGCGACGACGGGUAGCCGGCCUGAGAGGGUGACCGGCCACACUGGGACUGAGACACGGCCCAGACUCCUACGGGAGGCAGCAGUGGGGAAUAUUGCACAAUGGGCGCAAGCCUGAUGCAGCAACGCCGCGUGAGGGAUGACGGCCUUCGGGUUGUAAACCUCUUUUAGUAGGGAAGAAGCGAAAGUGACGGUACCUGCAGAAAAAGCACCGGCUAACUACGUGCCAGCAGCCGCGGUAAUACGUAGGGUGCAAGCGUUGUCCGGAAUUAUUGGGCGUAAAGAGCUCGUAGGCGGUUUGUCGCGUCUGCUGUGAAAUCCCGAGGCUCAACCUCGGGCCUGCAGUGGGUACGGGCAGACUAGAGUGCGGUAGGGGAGAAUGGAACUCCUGGUGUAGCGGUGGAAUGCGCAGAUAUCAGGAAGAACACCGAUGGCGAAGGCAG